This 490-nucleotide ribosomal RNA is filed under the name uncultured bacterium. RNAcentral describes it as "partial 16S ribosomal RNA". It matches the Rfam family "Bacterial small subunit ribosomal RNA", at positions 33 to 507 of the family's 1533-position model. The record is from RNAcentral.
CUUUCACUCUGGCGGUAGGCCUAACACAUGCAAGUCGAACGGCAGCACAGGAGAGCUUGCUCUCUAGGUGGCGAGUGGCGGACGGGUGAGGAAUACAUCGGAAUCUGCCCAGUCGUGGGGGAUAACGUAGGGAGACUUACGCUAAUACCGCAUACGACCUUCGGGUGAAAGAGGGGGAUCGCAAGACCUCUCGCGAUUGGAUGAGCCGAUGUCGGAUUAGCUAGUUAGCGGGGUAAUGGCCCACCAAGGCGACGAUCCGUAGCUGGUCUGAGAGGAUGAUCAGCCACACUGGAACUGAGACACGGUCCAGACUCCUACGGGAGGCAGCAGUGGGGAAUAUUGGACAAUGGGCGCAAGCCUGAUCCAGCCAUACCGCGUGGGUGAAGAAGGCCUUCGGGUUGUAAAGCCCUUUUGUCGGGAAAGAAAUCUUUCAGGCUAAUACCCUGGGAGGAUGACGGUACCCAAAGAAUAAGCACCGGCUAACUUCGUG